RNAcentral lists this ribosomal RNA (458 nucleotides) under uncultured bacterium. RNAcentral describes it as "partial 16S ribosomal RNA". It matches the Rfam family "Bacterial small subunit ribosomal RNA", at positions 338 to 795 of the family's 1533-position model. The record is from RNAcentral.
CCUACGGGAGGCAGCAGUGAGGAAUAUUGGUCAAUGGUCGGGAGACUGAACCAGCCAAGCCGCGUGAGGGAUGAAGGUACAGAGUAUCGUAAACCUCUUUUGUCAGGGAACAAAGGCGGGGACGUGUCCCCGGAUGAGUGUACCUGAAGAAAAAGCAUCGGCUAACUCCGUGCCAGCAGCCGCGGUAAUACGGAGGAUGCGAGCGUUAGCCGGAUAUAUUGGGUUAAACGGGUGCGGGGGCGGUCUGUUCAGUCAGCGGUAAAAGCCCGGGCUCACCCCCGGCCCGCCGUUGAAACUGGCAGUCUCGAGUUGGAGAGAAGUAUGCAGAAUGCGCGGUGUAGCGGUGAAAUGCGUAGAGAUCGCGAAGAACUCCGGUUGCGAAGGCAGCAUGCCGGCUCCAGACUGACGCUGAGGCACGAAAGCGUGGGUAGCGAACAGGAUUAGAUACCCGAGUAGUC